GAUGAACGCUAGCUACAGGCUUAACACAUGCAAGUCGCGGGGCAGCAUGGGGGUUGCUUGCAACCCCUGAUGGCGACCGGCGCACGGGUGAGUAACGCGUAUCCAACCUGCCCUUCACCACGGGAUAACCCGGCGAAAGUCGGACUAAUACCGUAUGUUGUCCAUUGACGGCAUCCGAUUUGGACGAAAGGCUUGGCGGUGACAGGAUGGGGAUGCGUCCGAUUAGUUUGACGGCGGGGUAACGGCCCACCGUGGCUACGAUCGGUAGGGGUUCUGAGAGGAAGGUCCCCCACACUGGAACUGAGACACGGUCCAGACUCCUACGGGAGGCAGCAGUGAGGAAUAUUGGUCAAUGGGCGUAAGCCUGAACCAGCCAAGUAGCGUGCAGGAUGACGGCCCUAUGGGUUGUAAACUGCUUUUAUGCGGGGAUAAAGUGGCCCACGUGUGGGCUUUUGCAGGUACCGCAUGAAUAAGGACCGGCUAAUUCCGUG
RNAcentral lists this ribosomal RNA (491 nucleotides) under uncultured bacterium. Its description in RNAcentral is "partial 16S ribosomal RNA". It matches the Rfam family "Bacterial small subunit ribosomal RNA", at positions 28 to 507 of the family's 1533-position model. The record is from RNAcentral.